Molecule: ribosomal RNA, 972 nt
Filed under: uncultured archaeon
Lineage: Archaea
Description: bacterial SSU rRNA
Rfam family: Archaeal small subunit ribosomal RNA
Source: RNAcentral
ACGGCUCAGUAACACGUGGACAACCUGCCCUUAGGUUGGGUAUAAACCCGGGAAACUGGGUAUAAUACCCGAUAGGUCUCGAUUGCUGGAAUGCAUCGAGAUUUAAAGCUCCGGCGCCUAAGGAUGGGUCUGCGGCCUAUCAGGUAGUAGUGGGUGUAGCGUACCUACUAGCCUACGACGGGUACGGGUUGUGAGAGCAAGAGCCCGGAGAUGGAUUCUGAGACACGAAUCCAGGCCCUACGGGGUGCAGCAGGCGCGAAAACUUUACAAUGCUGGCAACAGCGAUAAGGGAACCUCGAGUGCCAGGUUACAAAUCUGGCUGUCGAGAUGCCUAAAAAGCAUUUCAUAGCAAGGGCCGGGCAAGGCCGGUGCCAGCCGCCGCGGUAACACCGGCGGCUCGAGUGGUAACCGUUAUUAUUGGGUCUAAAGGGUCUGUAGCCGGCCGGAUAAGUCUCUUGAGAAAUCUGGCAGCUUAACUGUCAGGCUUUCAGGAGAUACUGUCUGGCUCGAGGCCGGGAGAGGUGAGAGGUACUUCAGGGGUAGGGGUGAAAUCUUGUAAUCCUUGAAGGACCACCAGUGGCGAAGGCGUCUCACCAGAACGGACCUGACGGCAAGGGACGAAAGCUAGGGGCACGAACCGGAUUAGAUACCCGGGUAGUCCUAGCCGUAAACGAUACUCGCUAGGUGUCGGCCACGGUGCGACCGUUGUCGGUGCCGUAGGGAAGCCGUGAAGCGAGCCACCUGGGAAGUACGGCCGCAAGGCUGAAACUUAAAGGAAUUGGCGGGGGAGCACCACAACGGGUGGAGCUUGCGGUUUAAUUGGAUUCAACGCCGGAAAUCUUACCGGGACCGACAGCAAUAUGAAGGCCAGGCUGAAGACUUUGCCGGAUUAGCUGAGAGGUGGUGCAUGGCCGUCGUCAGUUCGUACUGUGAAGCAUCCUGUUAAGUCAGGCAACGAGCGAGACCCGUACC